AAUAAAUAGCAUUUCGUGAUAGAGAAGAACAGGAGGCAUUAGGGGGUCCCCUACUUUAGAGAGGGAGAGUCAAGAGAAGGCUGUCCCUUUAAGGAUCUGACAUUUUAGCAGAAACUGGAGGGUGUCUCACCCUCUGCCCGGGGUUCAGGUUCCUCUGAACCUGCCUCUGUCAGGUUCAUCUGCCUGGGGAAAAAGGGAGAGCAAGAGUGAGGACAAGCUGAAUGGUGGACUGAAUGAGCAAGGAGGAAAGGAGAAUAAGACGAGACAGAACCAGUUUGUGGGGAGUAGGACGUGCCCAUCAUAUUUAAUCAUGGCUCUCCUGUUUACCCCUUCCUGCUCCUCCCGGCCUCUCUCCCAUGGCUUUGCAUCUGAUGGAGUCAAUAUGGAGCACACGGGUGCCACCUUGCCAGGAGUGCGAUCGAUGGGUUUAUCUCUGAACACAAAGAUGAUAUCUGCAUGGAUUUUGUCAGACAAAGCAUCGCUCUAUUUGGGAAAGAUCUAGGAAUGAGAUGGCCAGGUCAUGCCUGACCAGAGGGAUUCAAUCCAAGGGAUAAAACUAAGAAGCCACUUAGGGGACGGUGAGAUAAUCCAGAGAUUCGAAUAGCAAGAAGACACCACCACCCAAAAGGAAGAACCCGCAAUUAAUCAUGGAGCUCUAUGGACAGGAGCUGGCUGCCCAUGGCAGGGAAGACUCAAACUGAAAUCUCAGCUGUUCUUUCAUCUUGAGUCAGCUGACCUUCAGACUGAAAAUACACUAACAAUUUUCUGGGUCUUUGGCCAACUGAUUCAUCCUGCAGAUUUUGAGACUUGCCAAUCUCUGUUACUGUGGGAGCCAAUUCCUUGUAAUGCAUCACUUUCUCUAUAUACAUACAUCCUACUGGUUUUGUUUCUCUGGAGAACCCUGACUGAUAUAAUUGGUAAUUAGCUACUAUUCCCAACUCCUUGAGUGCCCCCUACUCCCAUCCCUCUAGCCUGCCUUGCCCUGCAUUCGAGAUUCACCCAUCUGCCCAUGAUUCAGCAACUGAGGGACAAAACUGGCCAUGCAAGGGGGCCUUCAGGUCCACACUGAGUGUCCCUUGCACUGUCAUCUGUGCUUCUCUUAUGGCCCUGCCGAUGGACUCAGCAAAGCUUCGGUGGGCUCUGAUGAGGCCCACCCUAGCAUCCACUGGCCGCUUCACCAGCUCACCGAGGCUGCAAUGUGCCACCUGCCACCCUCAGGGGACCCAGUGGAAACACAGUACCCAUGGCAGUGCCAGUGGCAAAUGCUCAUUAGUACUGGUUGUUAAAUAUUUUGAACACUACACCUGAGAUUAAGACAUAUUUUUAAGGUAGGAGCAACAGG
This is a long non-coding RNA of Nyctereutes procyonoides (raccoon dog), 1342 nucleotides long. RefSeq lists it as uncharacterized. The transcript has 3 exons. NCBI's taxonomy places the organism in Eukaryota, Metazoa, Chordata, Mammalia, Carnivora, Canidae. The record is from RefSeq and is a predicted model, not a curated record.